Non-coding RNA from Paramuricea clavata, 576 nucleotides. Lineage: Eukaryota; Metazoa; Cnidaria; Anthozoa; Malacalcyonacea; Plexauridae. The record is from the annotation of a GenBank genome assembly.
GGGGGGGGGGGGGGGUCACGUGACGAUAUUUUGAUUGAGAUCAAAGGAAAGCACUCAUCAAACAUAUUACCUAAAAUGUCAUUAAGCUUUUGAACAUUUUCAGAUGGAUUUAGACAAUCAAAAAACAUAUCCCAUUCCAACUCUUGCAACUUCUCACGCGCGGUCUACGCGAAUAAUGUUCCACCCCAUGUUCCCCGGGGAACAUGGGGUGGAACAUUGUCAAAAGGAACGCAGGCUCGCUAAUUGAUGACGUAAGGCGUGAUAUCGCGAUUAAUUUCAUGCUCACGUGGCACAAACUAAGCUUCCUGAUUGGACAAUUUGAAUUUGAGGUAUAAUAUUAUCAGAUAGCUUAUACUGUGACUGUACUUUGAUACAGCAAUAAGUUGUGUUCGACAAUUUCACUAGAAGUUCCAACACUAUCUGGUGGAAAAAUUAACAACAUUCUUAAGUUUAUGAAUUUAGAAAAAUAUACAGUGGAACAAUCUACAGUUUUUAGAUAUAGUCUAAUAUGGAUAUGUAAUUAAAAUUGUGUCCAACCAACCUGUUUGAUCUUGCCUUUGUGAUAUUGAAGCAGUC